This 253-nucleotide ribosomal RNA is filed under the name uncultured bacterium. Its description in RNAcentral is "partial 16S ribosomal RNA". It matches the Rfam family "Bacterial small subunit ribosomal RNA", at positions 524 to 776 of the family's 1533-position model. The record is from RNAcentral.
UACGUAGGGUGCAAGCGUUAAUCGGAAUUACUGGGCGUAAAGCGUGCGCAGGCGGCUUUGCAAGACAGAUGUGAAAUCCCCGGGCUUAACCUGGGAACUGCAUUUGUGACUGCAGGGCUGGAGUGCGGCAGAGGGGGAUGGAAUUCCGCGUGUAGCAGUGAAAUGCGUAGAUAUGCGGAGGAACCCCAAUGGCGAAGGCAGCUCGCUGGGACGGUACUGACGCUGAGGCGCGAAAGCGUGGGGAGCAAACAGG